GACGUAGGGGGCAAGCGUUGUUCGGAAUUACUGGGCGUAAAGCGCGUGUAGGCGGCUUGGCAAGUCGGAAGUGAAAGCCCUCGGCUCAACCGGGGAACUGCUUUCGAGACUGCCAGGCUUGAGUGCGGGAGGGGAGAGCGGAAUUCCCGGUGUAGCGGUGAAAUGCGUAGAUAUCGGGAAGAACACCGGUGGCGAAGGCGGCUCUCUGGACCGCGACUGACGCUGAGACGCGAAAGCGUGGGGAGCAAACAGG
Molecule: ribosomal RNA, 253 nt
Filed under: uncultured bacterium
Lineage: Bacteria
Description: partial 16S ribosomal RNA
Rfam family: Bacterial small subunit ribosomal RNA
Source: RNAcentral